UCUUCUGUAAUGUGGGGUGUUAUUUUAUAUUUUCGAUGGUUGUGGUGCAACUGAAGUAAAGUUUAUUCUAAUUUUGUUUUAAAUUAGUUUUUGUAAGAAAGGAGUUUAUACGAAUUACGGGCCACGUUUUACAGGCCUCGAAUGAGCUUUAAAAUAAUUAAACUGUCUUUUCAGCUAUGCUUCAAAUAAGUUUAAGAUUUUAAUAAAAUUACAAAAAAAAAACGAAUUUAACGCUUAAUUCAACUUUCUUCCGCGUGGAUUGGAAGCAAGGCAUUACCUCGUGUUAGCAUGCGUGAUGAUACAUGAUGUUGGUAGGGACAUCUGAGAAUACUUGAUGAGUACCAACAUCUCUGACAUGUUAAACUGCUCUGCGUGCAAUCUUGCUGGAGUUUACGAGCAAAGCCUAAGUUUUCUUUAUUUUUCCCACCGCCAGGUCCAUUAUCCCGAGGACUAAUAAACGCGGAGUCAGUUGGUAUGUACACCAAGUCUUAUUAAACCUAUUCUUGAUGGUUGAUUUGCUUAUGAUGACUAAAAAUGUAUAAGAGUAGUGGACAGGAGUGGUUUCUGAGAAUUUUUUUUUUGCACUGAAGCAUUGUGAGUUUUAAUUGAGGUUAAGUUAACAUGUCCCCGUUCUAAUUUUUAUUUUUUUCUUGCAGGAGUCGAGUAAAUCUGGAGCAGCAAGGAGUGUUGUGAAUUUGGAAAGCGGUGUCAAAGGAACAAUGUGCAGCACAGUUGAAUUGAAAGGUGGUUUAAGACAUUGGCCAGAGAGAUGAAGAUGCCAUCAGCUGAGCAUGUUUGACUUCUGCAUGGGCGCAAGCAUGUUUGCAGGAGUUCUACAGGGGAGCUAGUAUGUCUAGCUAUGGCAGAUUCAGCAGCUGAUCUUCAGGGUAAGUCUAGUUAAAGUGACUUGUUACGAUUACCAAAAGUGGUUUCAAACUGAUGAGUACGAAUCAGGUCUCUGAUCUUUUUGAGGACAAUGUAAAAACAUUCUGAUUUAAGGCCACGUAUG
Long non-coding RNA from Carassius carassius (crucian carp), 1009 nucleotides. RefSeq lists it as uncharacterized. The transcript has 6 exons. The record is from RefSeq and is a predicted model, not a curated record. Lineage: Eukaryota; Metazoa; Chordata; Actinopteri; Cypriniformes; Cyprinidae.